RNAcentral lists this ribosomal RNA (347 nucleotides) under uncultured Desulfobulbus sp. Its description in RNAcentral is "bacterial SSU rRNA". It matches the Rfam family "Bacterial small subunit ribosomal RNA", at positions 1037 to 1382 of the family's 1533-position model. The record is from RNAcentral. Lineage: Bacteria; Pseudomonadati; Thermodesulfobacteriota; Desulfobulbia; Desulfobulbales; Desulfobulbaceae.
GGUGCUGCAUGGCUGUCGUCAGCUCGUGUCCGUGAGAUGUUGGGUUAAGGUCCCGCAACGAGCGCAACCCUUGCCUUUAGUUGCCAGCAGUUCGGCUGGGCACUCUAAAGGGACUGCCGGUGUUAAACCGGAGGAAGGUGGGGAUGACGUCAAGUCCUCAUGGCCUUUAUGACCAGGGCUACACACGUACUACAAUGGCCGAUACAAAGGGCAGCGACACUGCGAGGUGAAGCCAAUCCCGUAAAAUCGGUCUCAGUCCGGAUUGGAGUCUGCAACUCGACUCCAUGAAGUUGGAAUCGCUAGUAAUCGUGGAUCAGCAUGCCACGGUGAAUACGUUCCCGGGCCUU